Molecule: ribosomal RNA, 544 nt
Filed under: uncultured bacterium
Lineage: Bacteria
Description: bacterial SSU rRNA
Rfam family: Bacterial small subunit ribosomal RNA
Source: RNAcentral
GGAAUCUUGCGCAAUGGGCGAAAGCCUGACGCAGCAACGCCGCGUGCGGGAUGAAGGCCUUAGGGUUGUAAACCGCUUUCAGCAGGGAAGAAAAUGACUGUACCUGCAGAAGAAGGUGCGGCCAACUACGUGCCAGCAGCCGCGGUGACACGUAGGCACCAAGCGUUGUCCGGAUUUAUUGGGCGUAAAGAGCUCGUAGGCGGUUCAGUUAGUUGGGUGUGAAAACUCCGGGCUUAACCCGGAGCCGCCACCCAAUACUGCUGUGACUAGAGUUCGGUAGGGGAGCGGGGAAUUCCUAGUGUAGCGGUGAAAUGCGCAGAUAUUAGGAGGAACACCGGUGGCGAAGGCGCCGCUCUGGGCCGAAACUGACGCUGAGGAGCGAAAGCAUGGGUAGCAAACAGGAUUAGAUACCCUGGUAGUCCAUGCCGUAAACGUUGGGCACUAGGUGUGGGCUUCAUCCAACGAAGUCCGCGCCGUCGCUAACGCAUUAAGUGCCCCGCCUGGGGAGUACGGUCGCAAGACUAAAACUCAAAUGAAUUGACGG